Non-coding RNA from Cucurbita pepo subsp. pepo (vegetable marrow), 263 nucleotides. Lineage: Eukaryota; Viridiplantae; Streptophyta; Magnoliopsida; Cucurbitales; Cucurbitaceae. The record is from RefSeq and is a predicted model, not a curated record.
GAGGAAGUUCUUUGUGCUGCUUGUGAUGCUCAUCUGGGCCAUGUCUUUGAUGAUGGACCGCCCCCAACUGGGAAGCGUUACUGCAUCAACAGUGCUGCACUGAAAUUGAAGCCGAAAUAAGCGAAGGUGAAGAUAUUACUAUGCCUGCCUGCAAAUUCUGUAACUCAUACUCAUUACAUGUUUGUGCACAUAAACUAAGGAUUCUUGCUAGAUGUAUAAGUUUAUUGUGCUGAAUGGAAAUAAUUGUACCUUUUGGUGUCGUU